RNAcentral lists this ribosomal RNA (409 nucleotides) under bacterium. Its description in RNAcentral is "partial 16S ribosomal RNA". It matches the Rfam family "Bacterial small subunit ribosomal RNA", at positions 355 to 776 of the family's 1533-position model. The record is from RNAcentral.
UGAGGAAUAUUGCACAAUGGGCGAAAGCCUGAUGCAGCGACGCCGCGUGAGGGAUGACGGCCUUCGGGUUGUAAACCUCUUUCAGUAGGGACGAAGCGCAAGUGACGGUACCUGCAGAAGAAGCACCGGCUAACUACGUGCCAGCAGCCGCGGUAAUACGUAGGGUGCGAGCGUUGUCCGGAAUUACUGGGCGUAAAGAGCUCGUAGGCGGUUUGUCACGUCGUCUGUGAAAUCCUAGGGCUUAACCCUGGACGUGCAGGCGAUACGGGCUGACUUGAGUACUACAGGGGAGACUGGAAUUUCUGGUGUAGCGGUGGAAUGCACAGAUAUCAGGAAGAACACCGAUGGCGAAGGCAGGUCUCUGGGUAGUAACUGACGCUGAGGAGCGAAAGCAUGGGUAGCGAACAGG